AAGGCGACCCAUUGUCUCGGCAAUUUCUCCCGGCACCGGAUUCAAUUAAACGAGCAACAGGCAUCGCAACGCUACGACUGAUUGACAUCGCAUCGAUCCUGUAAAGUGGGAGUCAAGCAAAGGGUGACACAAAGACCCUUGGGUGCCCACGUGUGAAAAGCAUGAGGUGUUAUCGACGUCGUGAAAACGACAAGUUUUAACGUGGCGACGAGUAAACAGGAUGCUGCUUAUCUGCAGCGAUUCGAUAGACGCAAGAUAUUGAAUACCCUGCGUUUUCAAAACGAAUAAUGUGGAGAGGUUCUAUGUUUGAAGACGGUUGACAAUGUUGACUGUUUGAUAAGACAGCGCGAGGAUGUUUGCUAAAUACUGCUCGUUUCAUUCGUCCAAGUUAAUUCAUAGAGUGAAGUUAAGCCUCUGCGAAGAAAUGAGUCGUGAUGGAUUUCUCAUUUUCCUUGCCAUUUUUUCUUGCGUUAUUUAUUGCUCGCACACUGAUUCGCCGACCGAGUUACCGCUCCCGCGACCGACGCCCAGCGAGUUACUAAAUAAACAGGACAUAGAACUACUAUUGGUUUUUUUCAUCAUCUUUGGUGUGAAGGCAAUUUGUUUCAUCCUGAUCUAUCUGUUCUGCUUCAGGCAGAGGAAUCGAAGUGACUACGAGCGGCCGCUGAUAGAGGAGGAAAAUACUUUGAACAAUGAUUGACUAAGAUUAUGAAUCGAUCGAAGAUUAAGUUCACACUAACGAAGCUUUGGUUAACGUUUCCACAACAAGUAUUAUUGUAGUAGUAUUAAAGAGUAACGAGAUCAUAAAUAUGUAUGAUGAGUAUUAAAAUCACUUGUAACAUUG
Ceratina calcarata is the source of this 844-nucleotide long non-coding RNA. RefSeq lists it as uncharacterized. The record is from RefSeq and is a predicted model, not a curated record. Lineage: Eukaryota; Metazoa; Arthropoda; Insecta; Hymenoptera; Apidae. The transcript has 4 exons.